UUUGGUUCUCAUUGUUUUGAUUGCUAUUUGUUUUGUUUUUUAAUUUUUUAUGAUUGAGAAUUUUGCUUCGUUAUUCUUACGUGUCUUCCUUCUAUAGGGUAACCCUAGUCUCAUGACUUAAGUCACUAGUUUUGAAUAUUAGCUCGGUUUAAGUUUGGUUUUAUUAAGGCCUUUUUAAAAAUUAAAAUUUUUUUUUAAUUUUAUCAUUCGACAUUAGGUUAUUGGCCCUUGAGCUUAGCGAAUUGUCCUACUUUGUUUUAUGAGAUUAUCCCGAUCUCAUAUCUCGGGUAGCGGGUUAGUAGAGUUAACUCAAGUUGACUCUGUUUUUCUUUUCUCGAUGUUUUUUCAUGAAAUUGAUUUUUUUUUUCACUUUCAUCCUGUUGCAUUAAAUUAUUGCCCCUUGAACUUUGUGAUUUAGCCAUUUGCCAUUUUGUGGGGUUAUUGCAGGUGCAUGUUAGUCAAG
Molecule: long non-coding RNA, 463 nt
Filed under: Populus trichocarpa (black cottonwood)
Lineage: Eukaryota; Viridiplantae; Streptophyta; Magnoliopsida; Malpighiales; Salicaceae
Description: long non-coding RNA (PTRI_LNC004841)
Source: RNAcentral